GACGUAGGGCGCGAGCGUUGUCCGGAUUUAUUGGGAGUAAAGAGUUCGUAGGCGGCUUGUUGAGUAGGGUGUGAAAACCCGCGGCUUAACCGCGGGCCUGCAGCCGAUACGGGCAGGCUAGAGUUCGGUAGGGGAGACUGGAAUUCCUGGUGUAGCGGUGAAAUGCGCAGAUAUCAGGAGGAACACCGGUGGCGAAGGCGGGUCUCUGGGCCGAUACUGACGCUGAGGAGCGAAAGCGUGGGGAGCGAACAGG
RNAcentral lists this ribosomal RNA (253 nucleotides) under uncultured bacterium. Its description in RNAcentral is "partial 16S ribosomal RNA". It matches the Rfam family "Bacterial small subunit ribosomal RNA", at positions 524 to 776 of the family's 1533-position model. The record is from RNAcentral.